Molecule: ribosomal RNA, 871 nt
Filed under: uncultured Acinetobacter sp.
Lineage: Bacteria; Pseudomonadati; Pseudomonadota; Gammaproteobacteria; Moraxellales; Moraxellaceae
Description: bacterial SSU rRNA
Rfam family: Bacterial small subunit ribosomal RNA
Source: RNAcentral
CAUGAGCUUAAUUUGGAAUGGCAUUCGAUACUGGGAAGCUAGAGUAUGGGAGAGGAUGGUAGAAUUCCAGGUGUAGCGGUGAAAUGCGUAGAGAUCUGGAGGAAUACCGAUGGCGAAGGCAGCCAUCUGGCCUAAUACUGACGAUGAGGUACGAAAGCAUGGGGAGCAAACAGGAUUAGAUACCAUGGUAGUCCAUGCCGUAAACGAUGUCUACUAGCCGUUGGGGCCUUUGAGGCUUUAGUGGCGCAGCUAACGCGAUAAGUAGACCGCCUGGGGAGUACGGUCGCAAGACUAAAACUCAAAUGAAUUGACGGGGGCCCGCACGAGCGGUGGAGCAUGUGGUUCAAUUGGAUGCAACGGGAAGAACCUUACCUGUUCUUGACAUAGUAAGAACUUUCCAGAGAUGGAUUGGUGCCUUCGGGGACUUACAUACAGGUGCUGCAUGGCUGUCGUCAGCUCGUGUCGUGAGAUGUUGGGUUAAGUCCCGCAACGAGCGCAACCCUUUUCCUUAUUUGCCAGCGGGUUAAGCCGGGAACUUUAAGGAUACUGCCAGUGACAAACUGGAGGAAGGCGGGGAGGACGUCAAGUCAUCAUGGCCCUUACGACCAGGGCUACACACGUGCUACAAUGGUCGGUACAAAGGGUUGCUACCUAGCGAUAGGAUGCUAAUCUCAAAAACCCGAUCGUAGUCCGGAUUGGAGUCUGCAACUCGACUCCAUGAAGUCGGAAUCGAUAGUAGUCGCGGAUCAGAAUGCCGCGGUGAAUACGUUCCCGGGCCUUGCACACACCGCCCGUCACACCAUGGGAAUUUGUUGCACCAGAAGUAGGUAGUCUAACCGCAAGGAGGACGCUACCACGAGGCCGAAGUUGG